GACGAACGCUGGCGGCGUGCUUAACACAUGCAAGUCGAACGGAAAGGCCCUGCUUUUGUUGGGUGCUCGAGUGGCGAACGUGUGAGUAACACGUGAGUAACCUGCCCUUGACUUUGGGAUAACUUCAGGAAACUGGGGCUAAUACCGGAUAGGAGCUCCUGCUGCAUGGUGGGGGUUGGAAAGUUUCGGCGGUUGGGGAUGGACUCGCGGCUUAUCAGCUUGUUGGUUGGGUAGUGGCUUACCAAGGCUUUGACGGGUAGCCGGCCUGAGAGGGUGACCGGCAAAAUUGGGACUGAGAUACGGCACAGACUACUACGGGAGGCAGCAGUGGGGAAUAUUGCACAAUGGGAGGAAGCCUGAUGAAGAAACGCAGCGUGCGGGAUGACGGCCUUCGGGUUGUAAACAGAUUUAGAAUGUGACGAAGCGUGAGUGACGGUAAUGGGUAAAGAAGCACCGGCUAACUACGUG
This 468-nucleotide ribosomal RNA is filed under the name uncultured bacterium. Its description in RNAcentral is "partial 16S ribosomal RNA". It matches the Rfam family "Bacterial small subunit ribosomal RNA", at positions 28 to 507 of the family's 1533-position model. The record is from RNAcentral.